CUUGAGUCCCCGGAGCUGACUGUGCUCCAGACCCACCACCACCACCUCCCMAAAAAGAAAGAGGACAACAGUCUAAAUUUUGAGUGUGGGACAACACAGGAGAGUAUGCAGAACCUGGGACCAAGGCCAACCAGUCAUGGUAGAAGGYUGUGGCAGAGGAACACAUACAGCUGGGAGAGUUCUCUGCCAGGUGAGCAAAUGAGCAAGCAUGUUAUCCCUUCUGGAGCAGCACCUUGGGAAGGAAAGUGACUGGGUGAAGGUCACCUGCAAAUGCCAUUGCCCUCUGCCACAGUCUUCCAUGAUGAUGUUC
This is a long non-coding RNA of Urocitellus parryii (Arctic ground squirrel), 310 nucleotides long. RefSeq lists it as uncharacterized. NCBI's taxonomy places the organism in Eukaryota, Metazoa, Chordata, Mammalia, Rodentia, Sciuridae. The record is from RefSeq and is a predicted model, not a curated record.